Molecule: long non-coding RNA, 522 nt
Filed under: Elaeis guineensis (African oil palm)
Lineage: Eukaryota; Viridiplantae; Streptophyta; Magnoliopsida; Arecales; Arecaceae
Description: long non-coding RNA (EGUI_LNC068705)
Source: RNAcentral
UUUGAUUUAAAUUAUUGACUAAUUAUUCUGCUGUGAAGUAUUGGUAUCGUGAUAAGAUGCCUUGCAUGCUUAUGGAAAGAGUUUUCUAUGAGUAUGCGGCGGUUGCCAUGAUCCUCGAGUCACAAUUUCGGAUCAGAAGCGUGACAGCCGUACCAUGCACUGACAAAGUAUUCUGCCUCCUUUCUAGCAUAUAUAAUAGCUGCUGCAGCAUGACAACAUGGGAUACCAGUUAAAUCUCAUACCUUAUAUCCAUAAACACUCUUAUCCAAGUCAACUACAAAUCUGUCUGUGUGUUGCUCAACUUUAAAUCUUUAUCCUCCUCCCCAUAUACAGUGGCAGUUCAUAGCCUCCAACUUGACAUUCUCUAACUUCUUUUGAAUUUUCGGACAAAGAUUGCCUAUAAUUUUGUCCAAACCCUCUCUUUUAGCAUGGAACCGCUGCAUUAAUAGCCUCCGAAUACUCUCUAACAAGGUAAUAAAAGGCUUGUCUCGAGGAUCCACAAUAUACUUGUUAAAGGACUCG